Molecule: ribosomal RNA, 253 nt
Filed under: uncultured bacterium
Lineage: Bacteria
Description: partial 16S ribosomal RNA
Rfam family: Bacterial small subunit ribosomal RNA
Source: RNAcentral
UACGGAGGAUCCGAGCGUUGUCCGGAUUUACUGGGUUUAAAGGGUGCGCAGGUGGAUCAGUAAGUCAGUGGUGAAAGCCGCCCGCUUAACGGGCGAAUUGCCAUUGAUACUAUUGGUCUUGAGUGCGGUUGAAGUGGGCGGAAUGUAUCGUGUAGCGGUGAAAUGCUUAGAUAUGAUACAGAACACCAAUUGCGAAGGCAGCUCACUAAGCCGUUACUGACACUCAUGCACGAAAGCGUGGGGAUCGAACAGU